GCCGAGAAGAGGAAGAGAGAGACUCUAAGAGCAUUGGGAAUAGGAUCAUAGAGGAAAGUCUAGAGCUUGAUAUCUCCUCCAAUGUCAGAGGUAGAAAUUUGCUUUGUGUUUUCCUGAUGCCUCAUAUUUCUAUUGAUCUUAGGCACUCCUUCCUCUUCCUUUUGGCU
Triticum aestivum (bread wheat) is the source of this 167-nucleotide non-coding RNA. The record is from Rfam. Lineage: Eukaryota; Viridiplantae; Streptophyta; Magnoliopsida; Poales; Poaceae.